Molecule: ribosomal RNA, 253 nt
Filed under: uncultured bacterium
Lineage: Bacteria
Description: partial 16S ribosomal RNA
Rfam family: Bacterial small subunit ribosomal RNA
Source: RNAcentral
UACGUAGGGCGCAAGCGUUGUCCGGAAUUAUUGGGCGUAAAGAGCUCGUAGGCGGCUUGUCACGUCGGGUGUGAAAGCCCGGGGCUUAACCCCGGGUCUGCAUCCGAUACGGGCAGGCUAGAGUGUGGUAGGGGAGAUCGGAAUUCCUGGUGUAGCGGUGAAAUGCGCAGAUAUCAGGAGGAACACCGGUGGCGAAGGCGGAUCUCUGGGCCAUUGCUGACGCUGAGGAGCGAAAGCGUGGGGAGCGAACAGG